GCUCUGGACUUUGUUUUUGGAGGUAGCCUGUGAUGCAGGGCAGAAAAGAGCUGAUGCCUUGGAGAGAGACUGGGAGAGGCUGGAGUUAAUAGAGGGUCCCAGGGUAUCCAAGAAGCUGUCAUCCAGGUCUUCUCCAAUGAAGCUACAACAACCCACAGAGCCAGCAGGGGAACCUACACCUUCGAUGUCAUAUAUGAGCAAACAGUCAUUAGAUGGGCGUCCUUCAUCUUCAUCUGCAUGGAGUGAAUAUGAUGAUUCUGUGAAGGUUUAUUGCAACAUGACUUUUUCAGCACAGCAACAGGAAAAUUUGACUCUGGGUCUGUUCUACAAAAUUAAAGCUUUCUCAGCACAAAAAACAGCAUAGACUGUGAGUGAUGGCGGCCAUCUUGGUUCAUGUGUGAAGACUGAAUUUCAGUGACUACCAACGGCUAUUUCUUAGAAUGUGGCACUUACCCUGGGUUCAGGCUGUGGUCCUUCUACUGCCCAUGAAUGAAUUGCUCCAUCUGAACAUUCGGGAACAGGCUCAAAGCCAGCUGCACUACGAGGAGCACCUCCACAGUCACAACAGAUCAUCAAAAAUGGGACCACUGGUGGUGGAGGGAUAGUAAUACUAGAGUUAGCACUGGGUGCAAAUAAAAAACAAAACAACCUGAUUUUUUAUGGUUAAAU
This 669-nucleotide non-coding RNA is filed under the name Pan troglodytes (chimpanzee). The record is from RNAcentral. Lineage: Eukaryota; Metazoa; Chordata; Mammalia; Primates; Hominidae.